UACGUAGGGACCAAGCGUUGUCCGGAAUCAUUGGGCGUAAAGAGCUCGUAGGCGGUGUGUCGCGUCGGCCGUGAAAACCUGCAGCUUAACUGUGGGCUUGCGGUCGAUACGGGCAUCACUGGAGUUCGGCAGGGGAGACUGGAAUUCCUGGUGUAGCGGUGAAAUGCGCAGAUAUCAGGAGGAACACCGGUGGCGAAGGCGGGUCUCUGGGCCGAUACUGACGCUGAGGAGCGAAAGCGUGGGGAGCGAACAGG
Molecule: ribosomal RNA, 254 nt
Filed under: uncultured bacterium
Lineage: Bacteria
Description: partial 16S ribosomal RNA
Rfam family: Bacterial small subunit ribosomal RNA
Source: RNAcentral